CAGUCGCCGCGGGAAUACAGAGGGUGCAAGCGUUAAUCGGAAUUACUGGGCGUAAAGCGCGCGUAGGUGGUUUGUUAAGUUGGAUGUGAAAUCCCCGGGCUCAACCUGGGAACUGCAUCCAAAACUGGCAAGCUAGAGUAUGGUAGAGGGUGGUGGAAUUUCCUGUGUAGCGGUGAAAUGCGUAGAUAUAGGAAGGAACACCAGUGGCGAAGGCGACCACCUGGACUGAUACUGACACUGAGGUGCGAAAGCGUGGGGAGCAAACAGGAUUAGAUACCCGCGUAGUCCCUGUCUCUUAUAC
RNAcentral lists this ribosomal RNA (301 nucleotides) under uncultured bacterium. RNAcentral's name for it is "partial 16S ribosomal RNA". It matches the Rfam family "Bacterial small subunit ribosomal RNA", at positions 509 to 807 of the family's 1533-position model. The record is from RNAcentral.